GUGGCUCACGCCUGUAAUCCCAGCACUUUGGGAGGCUGAGGCGGGUGGAUCACGAGGUCAUGAGUUCAGUACCAACCUGGCCAAGAUGGUCACAGGAACUUCAAGUAUUUCACAGAAUGAUGCCGAGGAGCGCAGUUUCUACACCAUCCCUCCCGAUCAGACCACAUCUAUUCCCAUCUCAGUCUCAAACUCUUCCCCUUUUUCAACUCACAUUAAUGAAUUCACUAAGUACCUAGCACUGAGAAUAAAAAGUUAAAGCAGCA
This 263-nucleotide non-coding RNA is filed under the name Pongo abelii (Sumatran orangutan). Lineage: Eukaryota; Metazoa; Chordata; Mammalia; Primates; Hominidae. The record is from RNAcentral.